Molecule: long non-coding RNA, 346 nt
Filed under: Salmo salar (Atlantic salmon)
Lineage: Eukaryota; Metazoa; Chordata; Actinopteri; Salmoniformes; Salmonidae
Description: lncRNA (ENSSSAG00000107640.1)
Source: RNAcentral
GUUUAGGUCUAGGCUGAUUAGACAGACUCCCACCUCUCUCUGGAGAAGGUUUAGGUCUAGGCUGAUUAGACAGACUGCCAUCUCUCUCUGGAGAAGGUUUAGGUCUAGGCUGAUUAGACAGACUGCCACCUCUCUGGAGAAGGUUUAGGUCUAGGCUGAUUUGUUCUAUGUUUAGAUAAUUGUCUUUGAGUCACAGACAGUUUACGUCACAGACAGCACUGAGAUAUAAGAAAGUAGGCCUGCGUGUCUAGCCCUUCUAUCUAGCCAUUCCUACCCAUAAGAGCUCUCUGCGGGAUUUUGAAAUGAAAUACCGUCUAUUUCUCGGUUAAACCAAAACCAUUUCUGG